This 526-nucleotide ribosomal RNA is filed under the name uncultured bacterium. RNAcentral describes it as "bacterial LSU rRNA". It matches the Rfam family "Bacterial large subunit ribosomal RNA", at positions 183 to 765 of the family's 2925-position model. The record is from RNAcentral.
ACCCAGGGAACUGAAACAUCUAAGUACCUGGAGGAAAGGACAUCAACCGAGACUCCGCUAGUAGUGGCGAGCGAACGCGACUAGGCCAGUGCUUCAACUGAAGACAAGUGGAACCGUCUGGAAAGUCGGGCCGUAGCGGGUGACAGCCCCGUACACGUAAUGCAAGGUUGAAGACUCGAGUAGGGCGGGACACGUGCAAUCCUGCCUGAACAUGGGGGACCACCCUCCAAGCCUAAGUACUCCUUACCGACCGAUAGCGCACCAGUACCGUGAGGGAAAGGUGAAAAGCACCCCGACGAGGGGAGUGAAAUAGAACCUGAAACCGGAUGCCUACAAACAGUCGGAGCCCGCAAGGGUGACGACGUACCUUUUGUAUAAUGGGUCUGCGACUUAGUCUGGCGAGCAAGCUUAAGGCGAUAGCUGUAGGCGAAGCGAAAGCGAGUCUGAACAGGGCGUUCAGUUCGUCGGACUAGACCCGAAACCAGUCGAUCUAUCCAUGGCCAGGUUGAAAGCAGGGUAACACCUG